GCUCCUAUAGUCUAGAGGCCAAGGAUGCCACCCUCUCACGGUGGUGACCCGGGUUCGAAUCCCGGUGGGAGCG
This 73-nucleotide transfer RNA is filed under the name archaeon. RNAcentral describes it as "tRNA-Glu". It matches the Rfam family "tRNA". Rfam says of the family: Transfer RNA (tRNA) molecules are approximately 80 nucleotides in length. The record is from RNAcentral.